CACGGGGAGGUAGUGACGAAAAAUAACGAUACGGGACUCAUCCGAGGCCCCGUAAUCGGAAUGAGUACACUCUAAAUCCUUUUGCAAGGACCAAUUGAAGGGCAAGUCUGGUGCCAGCAGCCGCGGUAAUUCCAGCUUCAAUAGCGUAUAUUAAAGUUGUUGCGGUUAAAAAGCUCGUAGUCGAAUUUGUGUCCCGCGCCGCUGGUUCAUCGCUCGCGGUGUUCAACUGGCGUGUUUCGCGGGACGUCCUGCCGGUGGGCUCUUCGAAAUGAUUGCUUCGGCGGUCGUUCGUGGCCCAACUCGUAUCCGUAUUGCGCGAAUGCGAAUCCCAUCGCGGUGCUCUUUAUUGAGUGUCGAGGUGGGCCGGCACGUUUACUUUGAACAAAUUAGAGUGCUUAAAGCAGGCCAAUUUUGCCUGAAUAUUGUGUGCAUGGAAUAAUAGAAUAGGACCUCGUUUCUAUUUUGUUGGUUUUCGGAACCACGAGGUAAUGAUUAAUAGGAACGGAUGGGGGCAUUCGUAUUGCGACGUUAGAGGUGAAAUUCUUGGAUCGUCGCAAGACGGACAGAAGCGAAAGCAUUUGCCAAAAACGUUUUCAUUGAUCAAGAACGAAAGUUAGAGGUUCGAAGGCGAUCAGAUACCGCCCUAGUUCUAACCAUAAACGAUGCCAGCUAGCGAUCCGCCGACGUUCCUCCGAUGACUCGGCGGGCAGCUUCCGGGAAACCAAAGCUUUUGGGUUCCGGGGGAAGUAUGGUUGCAAAGCUGAAACUUAAAGGAAUUGACGGAAGGGCACCACCAGGAGUGGAGCCUGCGGCUUAAUUUGACUCAACACGGGAAAAUUUACCAGGCCC
Molecule: ribosomal RNA, 849 nt
Filed under: Blepharhymenus sp. ZMUN 10029341
Lineage: Eukaryota; Metazoa; Arthropoda; Insecta; Coleoptera; Staphylinidae
Description: bacterial SSU rRNA
Rfam family: Eukaryotic small subunit ribosomal RNA
Source: RNAcentral